This 287-nucleotide ribosomal RNA is filed under the name uncultured bacterium. RNAcentral's name for it is "partial 16S ribosomal RNA". It matches the Rfam family "Bacterial small subunit ribosomal RNA", at positions 30 to 314 of the family's 1533-position model. The record is from RNAcentral.
AUUGAACGCUGGCGGCGUGCCUAACACAUGCAAGUCGAGCGGUAACAGGUGUAGCAAUACAUGCUGACGAGCGGCGGACGGGUGAGUAACGCUUGGGAAUCUGCCUGUUAGUGGGGGACAACCCGGGGAAACUCGGGCUAAUACCGCAUACGCACUACGGUGGAAAGCCGGGGACCGCAAGGCCUGGCGCUAACAGAUGAGCCCAAGUCGGAUUAGCUAGUUGGUAGGGUAACGGCCUACCAAGGCGACGAUCCGUAACUGGGUCUGAGAGGACGACCAGUCACACC